ACUACGUUAGUAUAUUAAAGUACAAUUGCCUUCCACGCAAACAGAUUGAGCAAACUCAACCGUAGUU
This 67-nucleotide transfer RNA is filed under the name Nectoneanthes uchiwa. Its description in RNAcentral is "tRNA-Gly". RNAcentral also lists the same sequence under 1 other name. The record is from RNAcentral. Lineage: Eukaryota; Metazoa; Annelida; Polychaeta; Phyllodocida; Nereididae.